AUGUUUUUCAGGUCCACACGUGAAUGGUGCGGCGGCGGGAGGAAAUGGCACAGCUCGGUAGAUAGCGCCCUACUACUAAGACCAGAGAUAGAAGUACCCCGAGUUGGUAUAGCUUAAGGGUGUAGAGAUGAAAAGAAAGAAAUAAUACUGUAUUAAGUUUGGUUGUUUUUGGAGGUAAAAAAAUUAUAAAUGUGUUGUAAAAUGAGCUGAAUGCUUGUAAUAGUUUAGUAAUUAUGUUUCUGAUGCUUUUCUUAUACCAUCAGU
Molecule: long non-coding RNA, 264 nt
Filed under: Ananas comosus (pineapple)
Lineage: Eukaryota; Viridiplantae; Streptophyta; Magnoliopsida; Poales; Bromeliaceae
Description: long non-coding RNA (ACOM_LNC030311)
Source: RNAcentral